RNAcentral lists this long non-coding RNA (2338 nucleotides) under Anas platyrhynchos platyrhynchos (common mallard). RNAcentral describes it as "lncRNA (ENSAPLG00000027729.1)". The record is from RNAcentral. Lineage: Eukaryota; Metazoa; Chordata; Aves; Anseriformes; Anatidae.
UUCAAUAAGGAAGGAAAAAACCUUGCUGGGAUGGGAAGGCUUCCUUGGGGUAGAAAGCCAUUGGGCUCAGAAAUGAAAGAGAUGGGAAAUGUUCUCUGGGUUUGAAAGCAUUGGGAAGCAAAAGCAUUGGGAUGGGCAAUCGCUCCUGGGAUGGGAAAGUACUGGGACGGGAAAUCUUGAAUGGGGUGGGUAACAUUUAUUGAAGUAGGAAAACCAUGAGAAAGUCAUCCAAGAGAGGGGAAUUCUUUGGGACGAGAUCUCUUUGGAUGAACAAACGCUUUGUGUUGAUGGGAAAUCUUUUGUAUGGGAAUCUGUUAUCAUGUGAACUUGUCAGGAUGGGAAAUGACCAUGAGGAUGAAAGCUGGUACUGGGGUGGGAAAUGCUUAGGACGGGGAAGAGGCGGUGUGGAAGCGUCGUGGGCAUGGCAAGUGCUGCGUGGGAGGGCAAGCCUGCUGGGGAUGGCCAAGUCUUGUGCUGGGCAGCCUGCUUGGGUCCAAAGCCUGCAGUCCUCCCCAAGAUGUUGUCGAGGGGCUGGUCAGCCGUUGGGACGGAACCCCCGUUGCCCGGGUUCCCCAAGCAACCGCCCCACUCUCCAGCCACCAUGGCAGGUCCAGCAGCCGGCUCCCGCUCCUCCCAGGGCUGCGGCCGUGCUGGCGAGCCCAGUGCCCCAGAGCUCAGCCCAGCGCCCUUUUUCCCACAGAGGGUUUCCCCAGACGGCUUCUGCGGGUUGCGCAGACGCAAAACUCCUCCUUCGUCGUCGCAGCCGUGCCGUCAACGGUGGCUGCCUGGCUGCUGCCCUCCCUCCCCGGAGCGACGGCGGUGCCCUUGCAGCCCCCGCAUGCACCUGCCUGUUGCAGGCCCCCGCCCAGCGCAACCCCCCGCCACCCCUCGUCCCGGGACCUCCGCUGCAGAGGCAGGUGCUCCCCAUGCCCCGCACCCUGAGCAGCAGCCUUGGGCAGCUGCCAGAGCCCUGCUUGCACGCCGUAAGGCUCAGCGAGGACCAGGGGCCCCCGCUGCCCGGCCCCACUCCCCCUGAGCCUGCCCAGGCUCCAAGGACUGCCAGCACCCAGACGGCGACACCCGACGCGGUGACAGCCCCGCAGGUGCCUGAGGAGCCCCCGCAGCUGCCCGAGCUGGGCCCUGAUGCCUUGGCCGAGGCCUUUCCAGAGCUGGCAGGGGACAGCCAGCAGCUGCAGCACAUGCAGGACGAGCUCCUGGCCGACCUGGACAUCCCCAUCCCCGGCAUGGAGGAGCUGCUCAGCUGGCUCGAUGCCGUGGAGCCCCAGGACGCCUUCGCCGAUUUGCCCAGCAGUCCUGCCCUCAGCCGCUUCCACUCCCAGCUGCCUGACCUCUGCGAGGACAUUGAGCAGCCGAGCACGCAGGGACUGGAAGCCACAGGAGCCCUCGGUGAGGUCCCCUCAACCCCUGGGGUGCGCCCCGAGAAGCUUGAGGGUGGGCUGUCGCUGCAGUCCCCCUUCAUGACAGCAGUGAGCCCCCCGCUCAGCCCUGCAGCCAGUCCCCUGUUCAGUGCGCUUAGGAGCCCCCUACCCAGUCCACCCCUGAGUCCCCCCAGGAGCCUCCCUGACACCCAGGUCCUCAGUGCCCUUAGUAGACCCCUGCCCCAACCCCCCCAGCAUUCUCUCAAGACCUGCCCCAACACCAAGGUCCCCAGUGCCCUUAGUAGACCCCAGCCCAAAUCCCCCCCGAGCUCCCCCAAGAAACGCCCAAACCCCAAGGGCCGCAGUGACCAUAGGAGACCCCUGCCCAAAUGCCCCCUGGGUCCCCUCAAGAGCCCCCUGGCUGCCCCUGCGUCCACCGGCACCAAGCGGGGGGCCAAGCGCCCUGCACCCAGCAGCACCCCUGGGACAGCGCAGAGCUGCCAGCACAGGAGGCCGACGAUAGAGAACCCCCCCGGCAAGGAGAGGAAGAUGCUGCUGGGCCAGGCUGGCCAAGGCCGCAAGAGACCGUACCAGGGGAAGACGGGUGGCAGCAGCACGGUGGCUGGCAGCAGCAGGGAAGCAGGCAGCAGCGGGCAGCAGCCGGCGACCAACAGCACCACGGCACCCAGCAAGAGAGCGCGAAGCCCAGGGGCUGCAGGGGAGCAAGGAGCAGCGUCACCACCUCCCCGCAGAGCGCGGCUGCUGCCGGAGACUCCGAGUGGGGAGCCCCAUGCCGUACGGCCCCAGGACAGGCUCUGUCCCCAGGCCAUCGGGGCCAAGAUGCUGCAGCGCCAGCAGCCGGGGACAAAGACCCCCAGCGAGACUUUGCAGCCGCUGGGGGCCAGGGCCAAGGCGCUGGGGCCAGUGCACCAGCCGUCCUGUGUGCAGCCGCAGCCCAC